Cyprinus carpio (common carp) is the source of this 1302-nucleotide long non-coding RNA. The record is from Ensembl. Lineage: Eukaryota; Metazoa; Chordata; Actinopteri; Cypriniformes; Cyprinidae.
GAGCAGACAGAGACAAACACACUAAAACCACCAUCUAUCUAUCUAUCUAUCUAUCUAUCUAUCUAUCUAUCUAUCUAUCUAUCUAUCUAUCUAUCUAUCUAUCUAUCAUCUAUCUAUCUAUCUAUCUAUCUAUCUAUCUAUCUAUCUAUCUAUCUAUGUGUAUGUUACUGUUAUGAAAAAAAAGUUUGAUUUUAAUACAUUAAUAAUAUUACAGUAUUAAUAUGUGUGUUUGUGUGUGUGUGUGUAUAUAUAUAUAAAAUAUGUAAAUUCAGCUAUUAUUUUGUUUUAGUAUGUAAACUUCUGUAAUGUGAAAUAGCUUAUUGAGGAUUUUUUCAUUCACCAGUAACAGACCAGUAUUGCUGAGCUCAACCCUUGUGGUGUCUGUAUCAGCAGUGCAUGUUUAAUCUCAGUUUGUAGUGUCAUGCGCUGCAGCUGCAGCUCUGUUCGUAUGCUCUUUUGUAGUUAAAUGAGCUCCCGUCCCGCGGGGCUCGUCAGACACAACUGUGCCCUUUGACCUGCGCUCAGGUGUCCGGGGCAACAACAAGUGUUUCACAGCCUGACCCGUGUCUGAAUGGAGCGCGUGGAGAGUCUCAGAUCAGCAGUGCUUUCGUGCGCUGCUCGUUUCGGCCAGCGGUGGGCAGCACUGCACUGAUCUGGAGAGACAGAGCCGGACCUGUGACCCUGACACCUGCACAGGGUCUCCUGCAGCAGAUCAGUGCAGCUGUGUCCAUCAGGGCUCAGACAGACGUGUGGCCGUCACUGUCCCGCAGGGGGCGCUGCUGACCGCGGAGACACUGAUGCUCUUCACACUGAGAUCUCUGUCUUGCGGCUCUCUGCAGUGUGAUUUACGCGAAUGUAAAGUGAUGGUCAGCGAGUGGUCAGAAUGGACCUCCUGCUCUCCGUGUAUCCCAGCAUCCUCCGGCAGGUCUGGUGUCGGUCCACACAUCAACCAACACCAUCAACAAAACUACUCCAAGACUGUAUAGAUAUACAGGAUAGAAAGACAUCUGUCCUAUGACUGAACUCGGCUCAUGAAUAUUAAUUAGUUGAUAUGAAACAAGGACUUUAACAUUAAACUAAAACUAUUACAAACAUUUUUUGUUAAUUGAAACUAAACAGAAAUGAAAAAAAAAAAAUUGAUUUGCCUUGGCAACUAUCUGAAAAAAGUUCUAAACUACUUGAGUAUCUAACUGGAAAAAAAUUAAAAUAAUAACUAAAUGUAAACUAAAACUAAAAAAAAAAAAAAUUAAUAGUAGUGUUUAAAAAAAAUUAUAAUAAAAAAACAAAUAACAGAAUAACUCA